GAGGUUUUAUCUCUUGGCUCAGGACCCACCUCUAAUCCCUCUCCCUGCAGCAACAAAGACGGACCCACUAAUUGAAAACCCUUUGCAGCUCCACCUUCCUCACCUCUGUCCUUUAUUCCUGUAGGGAGCAGGCACUGGUUGCCUGCUGGAAGAUGGCACAUCUCGCACACAGCUCUGCCUGUGUAAUGCUGCCUGAUUUGCGUAGGACCUAAUCCAUGAGCACCACCUCGAAAAUACCAAGCAGCCCCAACACCCUUUAAAAGACAGCCGGAGGGAAAACAACCUCAGAAAGGCCUUCAACAUGCACGUAGCACUUUGCAGAGUUCAUGGGAACACAGUGUACCUCAGAAAAGACAACGGGAUGCAAUCAUUUCCUCCCAUCUUCCCCAUUAAAGUAGUAUGGGGACUCCUGCUGAGUCAGGCUUGCAAAUGCUAAGGAAUGCAUAAACUUGUUUAUUGCAGUCGACCUUUGAAUGAAAGUUGCCAGUGCAUCAUUUCCUCUCUGCAUAUACCCUGUCUUUACGUGGCCAUCUCGUAUUUUUUCCUGCGUGGGAUUAUGUUACCUCAAUCAGCAGGGAUAAACUCCUGAGAACUAAAUACAGA
Molecule: non-coding RNA, 603 nt
Organism: Anas platyrhynchos (mallard)
Lineage: Eukaryota; Metazoa; Chordata; Aves; Anseriformes; Anatidae
Source: RefSeq, a predicted model, not a curated record